RNAcentral lists this non-coding RNA (26 nucleotides) under Homo sapiens (human). Lineage: Eukaryota; Metazoa; Chordata; Mammalia; Primates; Hominidae. The record is from RNAcentral.
UAGGUGGGAAUUGAACAAUGAGAUCA